AAUUUGAAAUCUGGCCCUUUCGGGGUCCGAGUUGUAAUUUGUAGAGAGUGCUUCGGGGGAGACCGCGGUCUAAGUCCAUUGGAACAUGGCGUCACAGAGGGUGAGAAUCCCGUAUGUGACCGUGGCUCGAACCCAUGUGAAGCCUCUUCGACGAGUCGAGUUGUUUGGGAAUGCAGCUCAAAAUGGGUGGUAAAUUUCAUCUAAAGCUAAAUACUGGCUGGAGACCGAUAGCGCACAAGUAGAGUGAUCGAAAGAUGAAAAGCACUUUGGAAAGAGAGUUAAAAAGUACGUGAAAUUGUUGAAAGGGAAGCGCUGGCAACCAGACCUGCCCGUAGGCGAUCAGCCGCUGUUCUCAGCGGUGCACUCGCUCUGCGAUCAGGCCAGCAUCGGUUCCAGCGGUCGGAUAAAGGCCUUGGGAAUGUACCUUCCCUUCGGGGGAGUCUUAUAGCCCUCGGUGCAAUGCGGCCAGCCGGGACCGAGGACCGCGCUUCGGCUAGGAUGCUGGCGUAAUGGUUGUC
RNAcentral lists this ribosomal RNA (518 nucleotides) under Melanelixia villosella. RNAcentral describes it as "eukaryotic LSU rRNA". It matches the Rfam family "Eukaryotic large subunit ribosomal RNA", at positions 112 to 642 of the family's 3401-position model. Lineage: Eukaryota; Fungi; Ascomycota; Lecanoromycetes; Lecanorales; Parmeliaceae. The record is from RNAcentral.